This is an RNA transcript of Bombyx mori (domestic silkworm), 3820 nucleotides long. It is a transcript of the gene named hyccin, with no coding region annotated. The transcript has 3 exons. The record is from RefSeq and is a predicted model, not a curated record. Lineage: Eukaryota; Metazoa; Arthropoda; Insecta; Lepidoptera; Bombycidae.
AUGGCCAACAUGGACAAGUUAGUUCAAUGGAAUUGCCGCAGUAUUAUAAACAAAAAGCAUGAAAUUAUACAUAUUAUAAAUACUUUUAAUCCUUUUAUAUUUUCUCUAUCUGAAACCUGGCUAAAGCCAGAUUUUGUAUUCAAAAUCCCUGGUUAUUCGUGCUUAAGAGAAGACAGGGCUGAUGGAUAUGGUGGUGUAUGCCUACUCAUCAGAAACUCUAGCACCUUUUCUUCCUUCCCUCUCCCUUCACAUAGUAACUGCUUUUCUGUCAUUGCAGCUAUUGUUGAUGGUAUCUGUUUUGUCUCUAUCUAUGUCCCUCAUCCCUCCUUGCAAAUCUUCAAUGAAAUUAAAAACUUAAUUUCAGUUCUUCCUCGGCCUUUCAUGAUUCUGGGUGAUUUCAACUCUCAUCACACAUCUUGGGGUAGUUCAGUAUCUAAUAGUUAUGGUUAUGAAUUAUUAGAUAUCUUAGACAUGUAUAGCCUGUGCAUUUUAAACUCGGGUUCUCCUACUCGCCUCACAAAGCCUGGUGAAGUAAUUAGUGCCAUUGACCUGUCCAUUUGUACUCCCCAGUUAGCAUCUUCUCUAUCUUGGUCUACUUUGUGUUCCACUUAUAAUAGUGAUCACUAUCCCAUAAUCAUUUCAUUUCCCUGUAAAAAAAAGGAUACAAUGUGUAUUCAAAACUCUCGCCUCAAACACAAAAUCAUAGACUCUAAAUGGAGUCAAUACACGUUAUUAAUAGAAGAGAAAAUUAAUAAUUGCUCAGAAGUUAAUGUCAUAGAUAAUAAUUAUUUCAAAGCUAUUUUGUUAGAAUCGGCUGAUAAUGUUUUUCCAAAGAAAAAGCCGCGUAGUAAUAAGUUGUCAUCUCCACCGUGGUGGGAUGAAGAAUGUACCAAUGCUAUACAGAAACGCAAGGCAGCAGAGCGUAAUUAUCGCAAUAAUAUGUCUAUGAAAAACUACGAGGCAUUAAUGACUAUAAUGAAAGAGGUUAGAAAACUAUUUAAAAAAAAGAAAUUUGACGGGUGGAGGAAAUUUUGUAGCACUAUAUCACCUGAAACACAUGCUACUGUCAUAUGGCGAAAUAUCAAAAGAUUUAGAUCAGCUGUCAAUCCUUCUAACGCAUUGUUGCUGCCUAUAGAAUUAGCAGAUCAAUUCCUUGAUCGUUUGGCUCCUCCUUCUGCUCCACUCAACGAUCCUAUCCUGUCUUAUAAGCAAUAUAACUCUGAUGCCCCUUCUCUAAAUCUAACUUUUACGUUAGUGGAGUUAAAAGGUGUAUUAAAUCACGUCAAAGACAGUGCUCCAGGGGAAGAUGGGAUUCCAUAUUCCUUUUUGUCUCACCUUGGCGAAAAAGGAUUAAAUUACUUUUUAAAUUUAAUAAAUAAAAUUUUACUGACAGGUGACAUUCCACCGUCAUGGCGAAGUCAAAUAGUAUUGCCAUUUUUAAAGCCGUCUAAGGUACAAUCUGAUAUCAAAUCAUAUCGUCCGAUAGUUUUGUCAUCGGUGAUCACAAAAGUUGUUGAACAUUUAAUUAAAAAUCGGCUUGAAUGGUAUAUAGAAAAUAACGAAUAUCUGUCCCAAACUCAGUUUGGAUUUCGAAAAGGUAAAAGUGUGGGGGACAAUUUAGGCAUAUUAGUUACGGAUAUUCGUAAUGCUUUCUCAGAUAAAAAGUCAGUAGUUGCUGCUUUUUUGGAUAUUAAUUCGGCUUAUGAUAACGUUCUAUUACAUAUUCUAAAAAGUAAAUUAGAUAAAUUAAAGGUUCCCUAUUUUUUAACUAAUUCCAUUGUAAAUCUUCUUUCGGAGAGGAAAAUUAUUUUAGAUGUUGGCGGCCCUUAUAAGCCUAGUAGGCUGGUAUGGAGAGGUUUGCCACAGGGGUCUGUUCUGAGUCCUUUAUUGUACAAUAUUUAUACAUAUGAUCUAGAAGGUUCAGUCGGAGAUUCAGCAAGUUUAUUACAGUAUGCCGAUGACUUGGUUAUUUAUGCCUCUGAUAUGUCUGUAAGUACUGCUGAACGAUAUGUUUCCUCCUCUUUAUCUUUGCUAAAAAUCUGGAUGGAUGCAAAUGGCCUUGAUCUGUCUCCCUCAAAAAGUACUGUUGUACUUUUCACCAAAUCCCGUACUCCUUGCUCACUUAAUAUAACAUAUGAUGGGGAUAUAUUACCCAUUAGGAAUCAAGUUAAGUUCUUAGGAGCUAUUCUUGAUUCUAAACUAACGGGUCAACCACACUGCGAAUUUGUGGUUAGUAAAUGUGAGCGAAACUUGAACAUGCUGAGAUGUCUCGGUGGGGUUUGGUGGGGUGCUCACCCGGCUACACUGAGGUUGGUGUAUAAUGCUGUCAUUAGAAGUGUACUGGAUUUUGGGACCUUUUUCUUAGACCCAGGUAAUGUGGCUGGCUUUAGAAAACUAGAUCUCAUACAGUCUAGGGCUUUGAGGAUUGUUUCUGGUGCCAUGAAAUCGAGUCCGGUUAAUGCUCUGCAAAUAGAAUGUUGUGACCCUCCUUUAAACUUAAGACGUCAAUAUCUGUCCGAUAGAUUCAUUUUUAGAAUUGUUCAGUUCCAUAAUCAUCCCCUCAUUUCGAAACUAGAGUUUCUUUCUAAAAAAGUACCCUCUUCACAUAAACCUUUACCUUGUCUGUUAAAAAGUUUCCUGAAAUUCAAACAAUUACAAGCCCCAACUCAUUCUUUUCAGGUGCUUCCUUUAUUUGGCGCUUCUUAUGAUUCUCUCUUACUUUCUCCAGUGAUUUGCUUUUCUCUUGGCAUUGAAAAAUCUGAUUUUAAUGCCAAUGAAAAUUUUAAUUGCAAUGUCAAUAGUAAAUGGCCUAACUGGCAUCAAAUUUAUACAGAUGCAUCUAAACACUCCAGUGGGUGUGUUGGUGUUGGAGUGUAUCACAAACAGUACAACAUAGUUCAGAAAAUUAAAUUACCUCCGGAAUCAUCGGUCUUUACCGGUGAAUGUUUUGGACUAUUAAAAGCUCUUGAAUAUGUGCUGUCUUUCAAACUAAAAAAAACCGUUGUAUUUACUGAUUCCUUAAGUGCAUUACAGAGCUUAGCAAAAUUUUCACUAAAACUUAACCCUUUUUUUCAUGUAAUAUUUGAAUGUAAGAGAAAGCUGUUGCACUGCCAAUCACACAACUAUUUAGUAUCAUUUUGUUGGGUACCUAGUCACUGUGGCAUAUCUGGAAAUGUGAAAGCUGACAGUUUGGCCAACAGUGCUACUGUGACCGGUGACGUAUACCCGUACAAGAAUUUUGGCCAUGAUCUUGCUGCUUUGCCCGGCAUAUGCCUCCACAAAUCGUGGAAUAUGUGUUGGGAAGAGAGCGGCCGGAUUAAGGGUCGUUUCUUGUAUGCUAUACAGUCUUCCGUUCCCAGGAAGCCAUGGUUUGCCAAAUUGUCGUUUGGUAAAACCGCCACUUCUACUAUAAUUCGUAUGCGUCUGGGACAUAACAGCCUUCCAGUUCAUUUGCACAAACUUGUUUCCUUCGUUUUUUAUUAUUUAUAAACUGUAAAUAAAUAAAACGGCGAAUUAUAAAAACAUUAUUACUUGACGCUGGCUAAUGCACAAAACGUGCCAGAGCCAAAAAUAAAGAAGAAGAAGAACUACCUUAAAAUUGCUCAUAAAGUUGGAAUUUGUCCCUAAUCGCCCCAUUUUACGGUACCUAUUGCAUGUAAAUCUUUGGUCAAAAUUCGUUUAAAUAAUGUUUGGUUUAUAAAUAUUAAUAAAUAAUAUAAUUUUAACUUUAAAAUUACUCUGAGUUAUUGGUUAAUUUAGAACAAGUAUUUAAAUAAAAAAAUAUAUGCUUGCACAAGAUAAAAUUAGAUUAAUUAUAUAG